Molecule: non-coding RNA, 2782 nt
Organism: Caretta caretta (loggerhead turtle)
Lineage: Eukaryota; Metazoa; Chordata; Testudines; Cheloniidae
Source: RefSeq, a predicted model, not a curated record
ACUGUAUGUUCCAUGCUAACUAAUCCCCGAUUUUACAGUCGCAUUAGUAAAUUAUGCAGUGCUUCUCACUGAUUUAGUUGCCUUCUCUGAUCAUUUAAAUCUCUGCUAUAUCUUUACCAUAGCCAUAGUAUGCCAUACUUGGGUCUUACAGUUGCUAAAGCACUGAAUGUGCUCUGUUGUUUUUUUUCUUUUCCAUUAAUGCACUUAGGCAUUACAAUACUUGUUUGUUUAAAAACUACUUUGACAGUUCACUUGACUCUGGAUUUCAUGCUGUGGUCAUUAAGUGUGGAUGCUGACUGUGUCCUGGGCAGUUAUAGCUGCUAUGAUCACUCUCUGUCUGACUAUUACACUUGUAAUUAAGCAGAGAGUCUGGGGUGUUGAGACAUUUACUCGCUCACUAACAGAAACAGUCCCUGGGAUGCUUACUGUGUGCAACUGUGCAGAGGAUAAUUGUCUCCUCUUAAUGAGUUCUGUGGGAGCACUGCUGGAUGAUGUACAUGGUGAUAUUGCUGGAUCUUGGAAGCUGGAUGUACCUGUUAGAUUCUGCUGCUCCAUUUAGCACCACAGCCUUUCUCAAGAGUGCUGUACCUUCAUAAUAGCGAAGUGGGGAAAGUGUUAAUUAAAUGAAAGUUUACCUAGCUGUUUUUCCUUCUCUAAGUAGGAUUUAUAGGAUUUAAGCAAACCUGUUAGAAUUCCUUGAUCUUAUUCUCUCUGUUUCUUCCACUCACCUUACAGCCUGGCUAUCACCAGCUCUGGGCAUGAUUGCACUCUUAAAUCCCUCUCUUAUCAUUUUAUCAUAUAAGGUGUAUGGAGGAGACAAUAUUCUCACUUUACUUCCCUGAACACAAACGGUGCUCUCCUAGGAGGCACGAAAUCCUGAGGCAUACACAGAUGUGAAGGCAUGGAAUAACUUUCUUCUUGCACCCAUUCUACCUUUGAUUGGUGUGAGUAAUAUCAAAAAAGGAGAAAAACAAAUGGCCUAUGGUAAUGCCUGUGUCUUUGUAGGCUCACUGACUUCUGGGCACAGUACCAGCAUGGUCUGGAUUGAUCUAGUGUGGAUUUGCUAAAUAAUGGGUGUGAUUAUUCAGAUUUGUUUUAAUACCUUCGCUCUCCAACCUCUCUCUUGGGGGAAGGGGUAUCCUUUGACAUCCCCCCAUCCUAUUCAUGUCACUAGAGGCUUAGAAGGAAGAGAGUAACUUGACUCUUUGGCUGCUAAACAGUCUCUUCUCUCCCUGCUGUCCACCCACCCAAACAACAGUCACAGGGAAAUCCACUGCACUACAGUUACGGUUCAGGCAGCAAAGCUGAUCUGGAUUAACUGACUCGAUUAGUUACAAGCACGUAGAUGAGGAGGUGGCAGGGGGUGUACUGUUCCUGUGUUAGGGUGUGUGACCUCCACAUUACUGAGGAAGUAAAAGAUUGCCUCUCCUGAAGGAUACGAAGUCAGUGUCACUUCCUGAUCUUUAAAAAAAUGCUGUUCUCUGUGCUGAGCCCACAAGGAUGAGGGACUAAGACUAUGUCUACACUACCCAGCUUUUGUUGCUACAGCUGUGCUGCUAAAAGUCAUGCAGUGUAGCCACUGUUCGUCUGUUCUCCUGCCGACAUAAAACUUCCACCCCCAACGAGUGGAGUUUGCGUUGUCAGCAGGAGAGUGCAUCUGACAACAAUGCACUAUUCACACUGGCACUUGUCGUGGCAAAACUUUUGUCUUUUCAGGGUGGGGGUGGGGGUGGGAGGACGCCUCUGAAAGGCAAAAGUUUUGUCGUUCAAUUGCCAGCGUAGACAUAGCCUAAGGCAGUGAAUUCAGUGAAUUGCUGCAGUGAAUUCAGGAGGAGUCUUGCCAUUGACUUCCAUGUGAGCAGGAUUUGACCCUACAGCAGAAGCAGAAAGCAAUUCCACCUCCCUGCUUCUUGACAAAGGGGGAUUGGGAUUGUGACACUAAUUCCCAUGUUCUUCAGAGAAAUAUUGUUAUAGUAUGAUUAUGGCAUAUCUAAGAUGUAUUAUAUGCAAGAUGGGUCGUGUGAGAUAUCAUUGGAAAGGUUAUGAUUUACUGAAUAUGAUUAUCAUAUUUGUAUGCAUGAAUCAUUUUGGUAUCUGAAGUUAGGAAUAUUGUUGAUGCACCUAUUACAAAUGUGUUUACACCUGGUGAACGCCCACUGGACAGAAUACAAGCAGUCUAGAUUGCUGGCUGGAAAGGGCCAUCAGGAAAAACAAUAGGUCUUUGAAGAUGCUGAUCUCCCACCUUCCUGGAAAGCCUUCCUGUGUACACUGUAAAUAGACUUUGAGUUAUGGCUGCAGGGCCAUGUGAUCAUAUCAUCUGAUAUUGGACUCCAUGAUAAAAUUAGUACUUUUCCACUGACCGGGGUGGGGGGUGGGAAUCACACUGGAAGACAAAGGAUUCCUUUUGCCAUAUGUAAAACCUAUUUAAGGCCAGGGAGUGACAUAAUCGUGGUUCCUUCUUCACCGUCUGCCUGCCCAAGAUGACUGCUGUAAACAUCUAAGACUGAACUGGGGAAGAAAGGAUUGAACCUAGGCUGGAGGGUGUUUUGUCUGUGAAAGAAAUACCUGGAGUUUUAAGCUGCAAGCGAGAGCAGCUUGCCUUCAAGAAUCUCUGCAAUCUGCCUAAAACAACAUUUAGGGUGAGAAUUUGCUAGUUAUAACCAUUUCUUUAGUAUAUUAAGCUUAACUUGUGUGUUUGUUUCAUUUGCUAGAUAAUCUGCUUUGAUCUGUUUGCUAUCACUUAAAAUUUAUCUUUUGUAGUUAAUAAACUUGUUUUUGUUUU